UACCAGCUCUCCGAGUGGUGUGGAUGUUUAUUGGGCCUAAAGCAUCCGUAGCUGGCUGGGCAAGUCCCCUGUUAAAUCCACCGAUUUAAUCGUUGGUGUGCGGGGGAUACUGUUCGGCUAGGGGACGGGAGAGGCCUACGGUAUUUUCGGGGUAGGGGUGAAAUCCUAUAAUCCCGGGAAGACCACCAGUGGCGAAGGCUGUCGGCUAGAACGCGCCCGACGGUGAGGGAUGAAAGCUGGGGGAGCGAACCGGAUUAGAUACCCGGGUAGUCCCAGCUGUAAACGAUGCAGGCUAGGUGUUUGGGCGGCCACGUGCCGCUCUAGUGCCGCAGAGAAGUCGUUAAGCCUGCCGCCUGGGGAGUACGGCCGCAAGGCUGAAACUUAAAGGAAUUGGCGGGGAGCACCACAAGGGGUGAAGCUUGCGGUUU
This 428-nucleotide ribosomal RNA is filed under the name uncultured archaeon. Its description in RNAcentral is "bacterial SSU rRNA". It matches the Rfam family "Archaeal small subunit ribosomal RNA", at positions 474 to 903 of the family's 1478-position model. The record is from RNAcentral.